AGUGCUGAAAGCAUCUAAGCACGAAACUUGCCCCGAGAUGAGUUCUCCCUGACCCUUUAAGGGUCCUGAAGGAACGUUGAAGACGACGACGUUGAUAGGCCGGGUGUGUAAGCGCAGCGAUGCGUUGAGCUAACCGGUACUAAUGAACCGUGAGGCUUAACCUUACAACGCCGAAGGUGUUU
Molecule: ribosomal RNA, 182 nt
Filed under: Shigella dysenteriae
Lineage: Bacteria; Pseudomonadati; Pseudomonadota; Gammaproteobacteria; Enterobacterales; Enterobacteriaceae
Description: partial 23S ribosomal RNA
Rfam family: Bacterial large subunit ribosomal RNA
Source: RNAcentral